GGAACCUUCAAUAGCUGUAUUGUUGGCUCUGGGCUGUGGCAGGGAGAGGCACCAGGGUCUGCUGAAUGGGUCAUCUGUGCUCGCUGAGUCCUGAUGCCCAGAUCGGGAACUCUCUCGGGAUGCCUCCCACUUCCCAACUCGCCCCUAGCUCAACCCAGCCCCUACCUUUUGGCUUGCUGUGCAUCCCUCAGGGAUCAUGGCAGUUACAAGUCGGCUCUCUGUGCUACUGGCUAUUGAACUGUGGUCUUCUUUGUCGGGAGGUUAGUCUUCUCCUGCCUUCCCCUCCCGUUCACAUCUCCGCCAACCCUCAGACAGCUGGGAGUCUCCUUCUGUGAUUCAGAGAAACCUGAAGCGACCAGGAAAAAAACUGUCAUAGGCCCUAGUGCCCUGGCCUGCUGCAUGGACAGGUGGCCUCUCCCUCUCUAGGAGGCAGCCUGCUGCUCUGCCUGAGUGUGGACCCAGCCUCCCACUCCCUGAAGUUCAUCACUGCUCCUCUCAUCUCACCCCUCCCACCAGCAGACACACGGCUCAGGAAAACCUUGUCUUCUGUCCUCUGUACUAGCGUUUCUCAGCCUUCCUGGAUGCUGCGACCCUGUGAUACUCUUCCUCAUGUUGUGGCAACCCCCCCCCCCCCAGCCAUAAAAUGAUUUUCGUUGCCACUCCAUAA
Non-coding RNA from Rattus norvegicus (Norway rat), 667 nucleotides. The record is from RefSeq and is a predicted model, not a curated record. Lineage: Eukaryota; Metazoa; Chordata; Mammalia; Rodentia; Muridae.